This 420-nucleotide ribosomal RNA is filed under the name uncultured bacterium. RNAcentral's name for it is "bacterial SSU rRNA". It matches the Rfam family "Bacterial small subunit ribosomal RNA", at positions 358 to 770 of the family's 1533-position model. The record is from RNAcentral.
GGAAUAUUGGACAAUGGGGGAAACCCUGAUCCAGCCAUGCCGCGUGUGUGAAGAAGGCCUUCGGGUUGUAAAGCACUUUAAGCAGGGAGGACAGGGCAACGGCUAAUAUCCGUUGCGGUUGACGUUACCUGCCGAACACGCACCGGCUAACUUCGUGCACGCAGCCGCGGUAAUACGAAGGGUGCAAGCGUUAAUCGGAAUUACUGGGCGUAAAGCGCGCGUAGGCGGUUUGGUAAGUGUGAUGUGAAAGCCCAGGGCUCAACCUUGGAACUGCAUCACAUACUGUCAGACUAGAGUACGGGAGAGGGGGGUAGAAUUCCACGUGUAGCGGUGAAAUGCGUAGAGAUGUGGAGGAAUACCGGUGGCGAAGGCGGCCCCCUGGAUCGAUACUGACGCUGAGGUGCGAAAGCGUGGGGAGCA